AGAGUUUGAUCCUAGCUCAGGAUGAACGCUGGCGACGUGGAUAAGGCAUGCAAGUCGAGCGCCCGCAUCACAGUGCUCGUGAUGCGAGUAAAAAGUAACAAGUAGAAAGUAGAAAGUGAAUACGAAUUCACCUUUUACCUUUUUACUUUACACUUUCUACUCGUAUCGCGCGUAGCGCGAUGCGGGAGCGGCAGACGAGGUAGUAACACGUGAGUACGCACCCCAAAGUCAGGAAUAGCUUAUCGAAAGAUAGGGUAAUACUUGAUGGUCUCCGACACCGCAAGGUCGUCGGAGUAAAGAUUUAUCGCUUUGGGAGCGGCUUGCGGCGUAUCAGGUAGUUGGUAGGGUAACGGCCUACCAAGCCUAUGACGCGUAGAGGAGCUGAGAGGCUGACCCUCACCGAUAGCACUGAGACACGGGCUAUACACCUACGGGUGGCUGCAGCCGAGAAUAUUCGACAAUGGACGAAAGUCUGAUCGAGCGACGUCGCGUGGUGGAUGAAGGCCUUCGGGCUGUAAACACCUUUUGUCAGGGAGAACGUGGCAUUUAUGCCACACGAUAGUACCUGAAGAAUAAGGGGUUGCUAACUCUGUGCCAGCAGCAGCGGUGAUACAGAGACCCCAAGCGUUAUCCGGAAUUAUUGGGCGUAAAGGAUGUGUAGGUGGUCAUGUUAGUCUCUUGUUAAAACCCCCGGCUUAACCGGGGAGGUGCGAGGGAAACGGCAUGACUUGAGCGUGCGAGAGGUCUACGGAACUCAUGGUGUAGGGGUGAAAUCCGUUAAUAUCAUGGGGAACACCAAAGGCGAAGGCAGUAGACUGGCGCACCGCUGACACUGAAACAUGAAAGCGUGGGGAGAGAAUGGGAUUAGAUACCCCAGUAUUCCACGCCCUAAACGAUGAUCACUAGCUUUUCGGAGUAUCGACCCUCUGAGAGGCGUAGCUAACGCGUUAAGUGAUCCGCCUGGGAAGUACGGCCGCAAGGCUAAAACUCAAAGGAAUAGACGGGGACUUGCACAAGCGGUGGAUUAUGUGGUUUAAUUCGAUUCUAAACGAAGAACCUCACCAGGGUUAGACAUCCAGACGAAGAUCAGCAGAAACGUUGAUCGUCUCACAAGGACGGCUGGACAGGUGAUGCAUGGCUGUCGUCAGUUCGUGGUUUGAAUUGUUCCCUUAAGUGGGGUAACGAACGCAACCC
Molecule: ribosomal RNA, 1194 nt
Filed under: groundwater metagenome
Description: bacterial SSU rRNA
Rfam family: Bacterial small subunit ribosomal RNA
Source: RNAcentral